GCCGUGAUCGUCUAGUGGUUAGGACCUUACGUUGUGGAGGUCUGCAAAACCAUAGUAACCCAGGUUCGAAUCCUGGUCACGGCA
This 84-nucleotide transfer RNA is filed under the name Daphnia magna. It matches the Rfam family "tRNA". From Rfam's summary of the family: Transfer RNA (tRNA) molecules are approximately 80 nucleotides in length. Their secondary structure includes four short double-helical elements and three loops (D, anti-codon, and T loops). Further hydrogen bonds mediate the characteristic L-shaped molecular structure. tRNAs have two regions of fundamental functional importance: the anti-codon, which is responsible for specific mRNA codon recognition, and the 3' end, to which the tRNAs corresponding amino acid is attached (by aminoacyl-tRNA synthetases). tRNAs cope with the degeneracy of the genetic code in two manners: having more than one tRNA (with a specific anti-codon) for a particular amino acid; and 'wobble' base-pairing, i.e. permitting non-standard base-pairing at the 3rd anti-codon position. Lineage: Eukaryota; Metazoa; Arthropoda; Branchiopoda; Diplostraca; Daphniidae. The record is from Rfam by way of RNAcentral.